ACGAUGCUCUCUGACACCCUAGAGAUAGGGCUUCUCCUUCGGGAGCAGAGUGACAGGUGGUGCAUGGUUGUCGUCAGCUCGUGUCGUGAGAUGUUGGGUUAAGUCCCGCAACGAGCGCAACCCUUGAUCUUAGUUGCCAUCAUUAAGUUGGGCACUCUAAGGUGACUGCCGGUGACAAACCGGAGGAAGGUGGGGAUGACGUCAAAUCAUCAUGCCCCUUAUGACCUGGGCUACACACGUGCUACAAUGGACGGUACAAAGAGCUGCAAGACCGCGAGGUGGAGCUAAUCUCAUAAAACCGUUCUCAGUUCGGAUUGUAGGCUGCAACUCGCCUACAUGAAGCUGGAAUCGCUAGUAAUCGCGGAUCAGCAUGCCGCGGUGAAUACGUUCCCGGGUCUUGUACACACCGA
Molecule: ribosomal RNA, 410 nt
Filed under: Streptococcus agalactiae
Lineage: Bacteria; Bacillati; Bacillota; Bacilli; Lactobacillales; Streptococcaceae
Description: bacterial SSU rRNA
Rfam family: Bacterial small subunit ribosomal RNA
Source: RNAcentral